RNA transcript from Lethenteron reissneri (Far Eastern brook lamprey), 3830 nucleotides. It is a transcript of the gene named solute carrier family 25 member 17, with no coding region annotated. The record is from RefSeq and is a predicted model, not a curated record. Lineage: Eukaryota; Metazoa; Chordata; Hyperoartia; Petromyzontiformes; Petromyzontidae.
CACCCACCACCACCACUCACCCACCACCACUCACUCCACCCCCACCACUCACCCCCCACCACUCAUCCCACCACUCACCCCCCCACCACUCACCCACCACCACCACUCAUACCCCACCACCACCACCACACCACCACUCACACCACCACCACCAUUCACACCCCCCCACCACCACCGCGUGCUGUAGGCGGCCGCGGCGUGAGCGGCCUUCGAGACCCCCCCGAGGGAGGGAGGCGCGGGGCCGCUCGGGGCCGCCGAGGAAGUUGGCGGCGCGGGGCCGGGAGGGACCCUCACUGAGCGAUGGCCUCCGCAAGCAUCGCCGCCGUCUUCUCCUACGACAACCUCGUCCAUGCGCUGGCGGGGGCCUCGGGCAGUGUCACAGCAAUGACCGUGUUCUUUCCACUGGACACGGCCAGACUUCGCCUGCAGGUUGACGAGAAGAGAAAAUCAAGGUCCACCCCAACUAUCCUGAAAGAGAUAGUGCGGGAGGAGGGCUUACAAGCCGUGUACCGGGGGUGGUUUCCUGUCAUCAGCAGCCUCUGCUGCUCAAACUUCGUUUACUUCUACACCUUCAACAGCCUCAAGACCUUGUGGCUUGACCAGAGAAACAAUUCCAGCCCAGGAAAGGACAUGCUCAUGGGAUUCCUCUCUGGCGCUGUGAACGUGUUGCUGACGACACCCAUGUGGGUGGUGAACACCAGGUUAAAGCUGCAGGGAGCAAAAUUCCGGAACGAGCGCAUUGAGCAGACCAAUUACAAGGGAAUGUUUGAUGCCUUCAGGCAGAUCAUAGAGAAGGAGGGCGUGAGGGCCCUGUGGAACGGCACGCUGCCCUCCCUGGUCCUCGCCUUCAACCCUGCCAUCCAGUUCAUGGUUUACGAAGGCCUCAAGAGGCAAGCCGCCUCUGGCAAAAUGAAGGUCAUACCGCGCGUUCGGCGCGGUGUCCGAUGUUUCGCUGCACACGCCGAGAGCUUCCUCACGGACCUGAACUGUUGGACAUCGUGCCGAACAAUGCGCGCUGAAUGCAAUGGACAUCUUCAUCAUCGGAGCCAUCGCCAAGGCGAUCGCUACCACCGCAACGUUCCCGCUUCAGACGGUGCAGUCCAUACUCCGGUUUGGACAGUAUGAAAGUGGGAGCAGUUCGGGGGUGUUGGGAAGCCUGAAGAACAUCCUGCUCCUCAUCAGCCAGAGGGUCAGAAAGCAAGGUGUGGCUGGCCUCUACAAAGGAUUGGAAGCCAAGCUUCUGCAAACUGUGCUGACCGCAGCGCUGAUGUUUGUCCUUUACGAGAAGAUUGCUGCCCUGACCUUCCGCAUCAUGGGCCUCAAUUCACAAGCCACACGCUGACAUUCCUUCGACCUGUGCCCUCCUCCUGUCGUCGUCAUCAUCAUCGUCGUCACGCACAUCGAGGGAAACAGCAGCAGCAUGUUAACUACCUCGCCUGGUAUACAGGGUUCGAUCUCAACCCUGGCGCCUGCUGUAUAACUGGAGUUUGCACGUUCUCCAUGUGGUCGUGUGGAUUUUCCUCUCCACAUUUAUAAUCAACAUCACCCUUUUAGAGUAUUUGGCUGCUAUACAUUUCCAUAAGCCACUUCGUUGAGCUGUCAUUUGUGGCUAGGAUGCGUCUGAAACAGAGCUACGUAGCUCAGUGGGCCUCUAGUUUCAGUAAAAUAACGACAAAUACAUUCCUAUUGACUUGUGAAUGUUCACAACUUCAGUAGUAGACUCGAUUAUCCACGUGCGGUUAAUCUGAUUUGCGGAUUAAUCGCGCAGCCUGAGAUUUUAACAAAUUAAUAACUCGUGGAUUUUCCCUUCCGCCCGUAUUAAUAAUAAAAAAAUAGUUAUUAUUCUUUGAAAUGUUUAUGACAAGUUAGAUGCUUAAACCAAACAAAUAUGCACUCUGGUUAAUCAGAAAUCCACGUGAUCGCCUCAACAGUACAGUAGUUGCAAUAUCUUUGCAAUGGUGGGCGGAGUUUGAUGUUGAUUGGCGUGGCGCUGCUGCUGUCCACUUAGUGGGCCGAGUCUUCUGCGCCGGGAGCAGGAAAAUGUUGUCACUGCACACUCAUCGAUCGGUCGAUUCUACAUUGAAAGAGCAAGCAUCAAAAUCUGUCAAUUGUGCUUCAUUUUGAGUGCUUUAUCUGAUCAUUUAUUUUGUGAGUUUUAAUUUAUACCUAUAUCAGUGGUUUUUUGGCAUAGACAUCCGCUGCAAAUGGUUAUGUUUGGAUUAUCCAUGAUUUUGAAUUAUCCGCGUCAUUAGCACGGAUAAUCGAGUCAACCGCACUUAAAUAUACUUCUAAAUCGCUGUUGCUGAGCACAGUUGCCCGAAGGCCCAACACACCAAGUGGCCAGAAACAAAGAGCACUAUUGAAGGUAUAGAUAAAGAGUGAAUACAUUUGUUGAAUUUGCUUAGGUUAUAAGAACUUGGGGGGGGGGGGGGGCGGGGAAGACAAUGGGUUCGAAUUCCAAACUGGAUCGGUGCAAAGAACGAAUCGAAAACAGAAGUGGUUUCACCGGUGUGCUGGCUGGACAAGGUGUGUUCUCAGCGUGGGUGGAAACAAAUCAAGGAGUGAAUUUCACGGGAACGCUAACAAUGGUACUAGCCAUAGAAGACUCACCACCAGUCAAACUAAUUGCUUGAAAAUAAAUCUUAACGGCUUCGAUCAACCUGACCCAAACGGUAUGAUAUUGUCCUACAUUGAUAUAUAGCAGACUAACAUUUAUCAAGCUUGGUGAAGGGUUUUUUUGGCGUUGCUGAUCUGUAACCUAAAACUGGGAAACUAUUACAACAAUCUAGAUGCUUACACCAGUCUACAGCAUAAUACUAUUUGAACACUGGACAUACGUUAGUGUGGAUGAAUUUGUUAGUAAAAGUUUGAAUAGCCUAGCGGUUAGUACAUUUGCCUUUGGGCCAGUGUGUACAAAGUUUGGAGUGACGUUCCUUUGCCCUCCUAAUCCCUGUGGGGAGUCGUGAAAGCACGCUCGUGCAUUAACACAUUCCUGCGGAGGGAGCUGGUAGGAACGUUGGGUUGCUCGGUCAAUGGCCAAGGUCAACGGCGGCGUGGUGUAUUCCGCAAAUAUGGCCGACUGUGAGGGCGGGCACAAGCCGGCGUGAGUAGGUUAAACGUUUAAGGGCACCAAGGGGUGACCAGCCCUUCCCCACCCAACCCCACCCCACCCAGCCCCAUCCUCCCCACCCAGCCCCUUCCCACUCUCCACCCAGCCCCACCCCUCCAAUUUUUGGAUGCACGACAGACGGACAGAAUAAUCCCCUGUGGGCUGGUGUAACCUGGAGUAUCCUACCAGUACAAAGGGAAUUGUCUACAGGUGAAAGUACACUGUGUCCCAGUGUCAUAGUCCCAAGUAGAUACGGCAACACCAAGUAGGGACCUUUGUCAACAUGCUGCUGGCCAAUGCAGGUUCGUGAAGUUUAGAGAUCUCGCUCGCUGCUACAGAGAGAGAGCUGUGGACAUCAAUUCAACUCGGGUCGACAGGUUGGGGUCGCAGUUUCGCUAACCGCUGCGCCACCACUCCCACGACAGCCCGAGUUUGCAACUUGAAAAGUAUCACGUAAUGCAAAAUGUAUUGGCCCACCAAAGCUCUCUCGACAGAGAUAAUAAAUUAAGAAUAUCAAUAAAUACAUUAAAAUUUAAUUGACUCAAUUAUUCGAAGUGCUACGGCAGGAAAGUAAACUUGGCAAACAGGUCGAGGUGCAUUUAUAGGGUCAUGAAUUUUACAUUCCAUUUCAUAUUUGUAACAUUUUGAUUUUGUUGAAAUAUUAAUUGAGCUGCCGUGCCAUUUAAACAAGCGUUUGCCGAAUAAACAAAUUAACAGGUUG